RNAcentral lists this ribosomal RNA (373 nucleotides) under uncultured organism. RNAcentral's name for it is "bacterial SSU rRNA". It matches the Rfam family "Bacterial small subunit ribosomal RNA", at positions 526 to 896 of the family's 1533-position model. The record is from RNAcentral.
CGGGGGGAGCAAGCGUUGUUCGGAUUUACUGGGCGUAAAGGGCGCGUAGGCGGUCAGCACAAGUCAGUUGUGAAAUCUCCGGGCUUAACUCGGAAAGGUCAACUGAUACUGUGCGACUAGAGUGCAGAAGGGCAACUGGAAUUCUCGGUGUAGCGGUGAAAUGCGUAGAUAUCGAGAGGAACACCUGCGGCGAAGGCGGGUUGCUGGGCUGACACUGACGCUGAGGCGCGAAAGCCAGGGGAGCGAACGGGAUUAGAUACCCCGGUAGUCCUGGCCUUAAACGAUGGAUGCUUGGUGUCUGGAGUUAUAUAGUCUCCGGGUGCCGCAGCUAACGCGUUAAGCAUCCCACCUGGGGAGUACGGUCGCAAGACUG